AGAGUUUGAUCCUGGCUCAGGAUGAACGCUGGCGGCGUGCCUAACACAUGCAAGUCGAACGAGAAGCUAACUUCUGAUUCCUUCGGGAUGAUGAGGUUGGCAGAGAGUGGCGAACGGGUGAGUAACGCGUGGGUAAUCUACCCUGUAAGUGGGGGAUAACCCUCCGAAAGGAGGGCUAAUACCGCAUAAUAUCUUUAUCCCAAAAGAGGUAAAGAUUAAAGAUGGCCUCUAUACUAUGCUAUCACUUCAGGAUGAGCCCGCGUCCUAUUAGUUAGUUGGUGGGGUAAUGGCCUACCAAGACUACAAUGGGUAGCCGGUCUGAGAGGAUGUACGGCCACACUGGGACUGAGAUACGGCCCAGACUCCUACGGGAGGUAGCAGUGGGGAAUAUUGCGCAAUGGGGGAAACCCUGACGCAGCGACGCCGCGUGGAUGAUGAAGGCCCUUGGGUUGUAAAAUCCUGUUCUGGGGGAAGAAAGCUUAAGAGUCCAAUAAACUUUUAAGCCUGACGGUACCCCAAGAGAAAGCUCCGGCUAAUUAUGUGCCAGCAGCCGCGGUAAUACAUAAGGAGCAAGCGUUAUCCGGAAUUAUUGGGCGUAAAGAGCUCGUAGGCGGUCUUAAAAGUCAGGUGUGAAAUUAUCAGGCUCAACCUGAUAAGGUCAUCUGAAACUUUAAGACUUGAGGUUAGAAGAGGAAAGUGGAAUUCCCGGUGUAGCGGUGAAAUGCGUAGAUAUCGGGAGGAACCACCAGUGGCGAAGGCGGCUUUCUGGUCUAUCUCUGACGCUGAGGAGCGAAAGCUAGGGGAGCAAACGGGAUUAGAUACCCCGGUAGUCCUAGCUGUAAACGAUGGAUACUAGGUGUGGGAGGUAUCGACCCCUUCUGUGCCGUAGCUAACGCAUUAAGUAUCCCGCCUGGGGAGUACGGUCGCAAGGCUGAAACUCAAUGGAAUUGACG
This 953-nucleotide ribosomal RNA is filed under the name uncultured bacterium. RNAcentral describes it as "bacterial SSU rRNA". It matches the Rfam family "Bacterial small subunit ribosomal RNA", at positions 8 to 915 of the family's 1533-position model. The record is from RNAcentral.